CACGAAGUUAGCCGGGGCUUCUUCUGUGGGUACCGUCAUCAUCGUCCCCACUGAAAGAGCUUUACAACCCUAAGGCCUUCAUCACUCACGCGGCAUGGCUGGGUCAGGCUUUCGCCCAUUGCCCAAUAUUCCCCACUGCUGCCUCCCGUAGGAGUCUGGGCCGUGUCUCAGUCCCAGUGUGGCUGAUCAUCCUCUAAGACCAGCUACAGAUCGUAGCCUUGGUAGGCCUUUACCCCACCAACUAGCUAAUCUGCCGCGGGCUGAUUCUUGGGCGAUAAAUCUUUGGUCCGAAGACAUUAUGCGGUAUUAGCGCAAGUUUCCCUGCGUUAUUCCCCACCCAAGAGCACAUUCCCACGUGUUACGCACCCGUCCGCCGCUAAUGUAUUGCUACAUCCGCUCGACUUGCAUGUGUUAAGCCUGCCGCCAGCGUCGUUCUGUAGCCAGGAGUCAACUAC
RNAcentral lists this ribosomal RNA (455 nucleotides) under uncultured Alphaproteobacteria bacterium. Its description in RNAcentral is "partial 16S ribosomal RNA". The record is from RNAcentral. Lineage: Bacteria; Pseudomonadati; Pseudomonadota; Alphaproteobacteria.